Molecule: long non-coding RNA, 230 nt
Filed under: Mytilus galloprovincialis (Mediterranean mussel)
Lineage: Eukaryota; Metazoa; Mollusca; Bivalvia; Mytilida; Mytilidae
Source: RNAcentral
AACAAAAACAACCAUGUCAAUUUCAGCAUGCAGUCAAGUCUGAAGCGUAGGACAACUCGUACACUCCUGUUUCAAAUUGGACAAUGUUUUGUUAUUUGUUUUUACUGUUGAAAUUAGUGGUUAUGUUAAAUUAGAUAAUUAUUCACUUUGAGCGAUGUAUUAUUGUUGACCAUUCGAGAUUCUUUUCUUGCGAACCCGUCUUUAGUUGAAUGUGUGAUUACUGUAUCGUA